This is a long non-coding RNA of Ipomoea nil (Japanese morning glory), 483 nucleotides long. RefSeq lists it as uncharacterized. Lineage: Eukaryota; Viridiplantae; Streptophyta; Magnoliopsida; Solanales; Convolvulaceae. The record is from RefSeq and is a predicted model, not a curated record. The transcript is spliced from 3 exons.
AUAAGAAAUGAGCAUUUACAAAAUCUCAACAGCAUAUUGCAAUGCAAAAACUAUGAUGAUCAAUCACAUUUUUCAUUUCAUUUUGUUAGGUUGAUGGAUAUGAUUUUGUAAAGCCCUUUUGAGAACCUAUGAUAAACGAGAAUCCUCUUUAGAAACGAUUUUCGUUUUCCAAAUCAAGAAGGGCAAGACAUUUAGUAACAAAGAAUCAUUUCAAAUCAUGAUAAGCUAAAAUUGUUUUGCAGGAUGGGAAUAAGGGCCUUUGGCCCUGUUUCUCUCUGAACUUCACAUACAUUGAUGGUCCAGUAUUCUAGCCCUCUUCAUUGGCCACUGUUAUGCUUGCCCAACAUGCAAUUGUUUGAAUUCUCCUUCUAAAUUUCUUGCUAUUAAAUAUAUUAGCUCACUUCAAUAUGUUCUUUUUCUUGAUGAUCCAUGGACUCAUUAAUUGGUUGUUGUCAUGAUUUCCCCAGCUCACCAUUAUGUAAA